Molecule: ribosomal RNA, 468 nt
Filed under: uncultured bacterium
Lineage: Bacteria
Description: partial 16S ribosomal RNA
Rfam family: Bacterial small subunit ribosomal RNA
Source: RNAcentral
GACGAACGCUGGCGGCGUGCUUAACACAUGCAAGUCGAACGGAAAGGCCCUGCUUUUGUGUGGUGCUCGAGUGGCGAACGGGUGAGUAACACGUGAGUAACCUGCCCUUGACUUUGGGAUAACUUCAGGAAACUGGGGCUAUUACCGGAUAGGAGCUCCUGCUGCAUGGUGGGGGUUGGAAAGUUUCGGCGGUUGGGGAUGGACUCGCGGCUUAUCAGCUUGUUGGUGGGGUAGUGGCUUACCAAGGCUUUGACGGGUAGCCGGCCUGAGAGGGUGAACGGCCACAUUGGGACUGAGAUACGGCCCAGACGCCUACGGGACGCAGCAGUGGGGAAUAUUGCACAAUGGGCGGAAGCCUGAUGCAGCAACGCCGGGUGCGGGAUGACGGCCUUCGGGUUGUAAACCGCUUUCGCCUGUGACGAAGCGUGAGUGACGGUAAUGGGUAAAGAAGCAACGGCUAACUACGUG